RNAcentral lists this ribosomal RNA (484 nucleotides) under uncultured bacterium. Its description in RNAcentral is "partial 16S ribosomal RNA". It matches the Rfam family "Bacterial small subunit ribosomal RNA", at positions 30 to 507 of the family's 1533-position model. The record is from RNAcentral.
AUUGAACGCUGGCGGCAGGCCUAACACAUGCAAGUCGAGCGGAUGAAGGGAGCUUGCUCCUGGAUUCAGCGGCGGACGGGUGAGUAAUGCCUAGGAAUCUGCCUGGCAUGGGGGUAUAAUGUCCUGAAACGGGUGGUAAUACUGCCUACGACCUGCGGCUGCAGGUGGGGGGGCGUUGGACCGUACGCUAGCAUGUGAGUCUAGGCCGGAGUAGCUAGGUGGUGGGGUAAGUGCCUACCAAGGGGAGGAUUGGUAAGUGGUCGGAGAGGAUGAUCGGUCACACUGGAAGUGAGACACGGUCCAGACUCCUGCGGGAGGGAGCAGUGGGGAAUGUUAGGCAAUAGGCGGGAGCCUGGUCCAGCCGUGCCGCGUGUGUGGAGGAGGUGUUCGGAUUGUGAAGCACGUUAAGUUGGGGGGAAGGGCAGUAAGUUGAUACCUUGCUGUUUUGACGUUAACAACAGAAUAAGCACCGGCUAACUUCGUG